RNAcentral lists this ribosomal RNA (623 nucleotides) under Ciliophora sp. RNAcentral describes it as "SSU rRNA". It matches the Rfam family "Eukaryotic small subunit ribosomal RNA", at positions 341 to 980 of the family's 1831-position model. Lineage: Eukaryota; Ciliophora. The record is from RNAcentral.
CUACCAUGGCUUUCACGGGUAACGGAGGAUUAGGGUUCGAUUCCGGAGAGGGAGCCUGAGAAACGGCUACCACAUCUAAGGAAGGCAGCAGGCGCGUAAAUUACCCAAUACUGAUUCAGUGAGGUAGUGACAAGAAAUAGCGGGCCGGCGACAAGCCGGGACUGAAAUGAUUAGAAUUUAACGACCUUUACGAGGAACAAUUGGAGGGCAAGUCUGGUGCCAGCAGCCGCGGUAAUUCCAGCUCCAAUAGCGUAUAUUAAAGUUGUUGCAGUUAAAAAGCUCGUAGUUGGAUUUCUGGCGGUGUGACUCCGGCCGGCAUGACGUCGGGUCCAGAGCGCGCCACCAUCCUUCUGUCAACCUUCGCGGGAUUCGUUUCCCGCGUCGUGGGCUCAGAUAUUUUACCUUGAGAAAAUUAGAGUGUUUCAGGCAGGCUUUCGCCGGAAUACAUUAGCAUGGAAUAAUAGAAAAGGACUUCAACCUCUUCUGUUGGUCUGAGGGGCUGUAGUAAUGAUUAAUAGGGAUAGUUGGGGGCAUUAGUACUUGACUGUCAGAGGUGAAAUUCUCCGAUUUGUUAAAGACUAACUUAUGCGAAAGCAUUUGCCAAGGAUGUUUUCAUUAAUCAA